AGUUCAGAUUGCAGGCUGCAACUCGCCUGCAUGAAGUUGGAAUUGCUAGUAAUCGCGAAUCAGAAUGUCGCGGUGAAUACGUUCCCGGGCCUUGUACACACCGCCCGUCACACCAUGAGAGUCGAUAACACCCGAAGCCUGUGAGCUAACCUUUUAGGAGGCAGCAGUCGAGGGUAGAAUCAAUGAUUGGGGUGAAGUCGUAACAAGGUACC
This 212-nucleotide ribosomal RNA is filed under the name uncultured bacterium. RNAcentral describes it as "partial 16S ribosomal RNA". It matches the Rfam family "Bacterial small subunit ribosomal RNA", at positions 1290 to 1500 of the family's 1533-position model. The record is from RNAcentral.